UACAGAGGUCCCGAGCGUUGUUCGGAUUCACUGGGCGUAAAGGGUGCGUAGGUGGUGAGGAAAGUCGGAUGUGAAAUCUCCAAGCUCAACUUGGAAAUGGCAUUGGAAACUACCUUGCUGGAGGUUUGGAGGGGGGACUGGAAUACUUGGUGUAGCAGUGAAAUGCGUAGAUAUCAAGUGGAACACCAGUGGCGAAGGCGAGUCUCUGGGCAACAACUGACGCUGAGGAGCGAAAGCGUGGGGAGCGAACAGG
RNAcentral lists this ribosomal RNA (253 nucleotides) under uncultured bacterium. RNAcentral describes it as "partial 16S ribosomal RNA". It matches the Rfam family "Bacterial small subunit ribosomal RNA", at positions 524 to 776 of the family's 1533-position model. The record is from RNAcentral.